RNAcentral lists this ribosomal RNA (274 nucleotides) under uncultured bacterium. RNAcentral's name for it is "partial 16S ribosomal RNA". It matches the Rfam family "Bacterial small subunit ribosomal RNA", at positions 523 to 796 of the family's 1533-position model. The record is from RNAcentral.
CUACAGAGGGUGCGAGCGUUAAUCGGAAUUACAGGGCGUAAAGCGCGCGUAGGCGGCUUAUUAAGUCAGAUGUGAAAUCCCCGGGCUCAACCUGGGAACUGCAUCUGAUACUGGUAAGCUAGAGUUUUGGAGAGGGAAGUAGAAUUUCAGGUGUAGCGGUGAAAUGCAUAGAGAUCUGAAGGAAUACCAGUGGCGAAGGCGACUUCCUGGCCAAAAACUGACGCUGAGGUGCGAAAGCGUGGGUAGCAAACAGGAUUAGAAACCCUGGUAGUCC